This 253-nucleotide ribosomal RNA is filed under the name uncultured bacterium. RNAcentral's name for it is "partial 16S ribosomal RNA". It matches the Rfam family "Bacterial small subunit ribosomal RNA", at positions 524 to 776 of the family's 1533-position model. The record is from RNAcentral.
UACGGGGGGGGCAAGCGUUGUUCGGAAUUACUGGGCGUAAAGGGCUCGUAGGCGGCCAGCUAAGUCAGACGUGAAAUCCCUCGGCUUAACCGGGGAACUGCGUCUGAUACUGGAUGGCUUGAGUUUGGGAGAGGGAUGCGGAAUUCCAGGUGUAGCGGUGAAAUGCGUAGAUAUCUGGAGGAACACCGGUGGCGAAGGCGGCAUCCUGGACCAAUACUGACGCUGAGGAGCGAAAGCCAGGGGAGCAAACGGG